Long non-coding RNA from Ctenopharyngodon idella (grass carp), 499 nucleotides. RefSeq lists it as uncharacterized. The record is from RefSeq and is a predicted model, not a curated record. The transcript is spliced from 4 exons. NCBI's taxonomy places the organism in Eukaryota, Metazoa, Chordata, Actinopteri, Cypriniformes, Xenocyprididae.
GGCGCAGCUGUGAGAGUUCGUCCUCCAGCUGUGUAAGUGUGCCCUGAAGACGCUCAAUCUCAAGCGUGUACUUCUGAUUCGUCUCUCCGAGGUUCCCCUCAAGAACACCAACCUGAGCAAAACAAAGAAAUUCAUACAGGUUUAAAACUACUUGAGGAAGGCAUUUGUUAACCCACUGGAGUUGUAUGGAUUACUUUUAUGAUGGAUGGAUGCGCUUUUUUGGAGCUUCAAAAACUCGGGCACUAUUCAAUGCCAUUACAAAUCUGGGAAGUGUCAGGAGGAUAUUAUUUAAUAUAACUCUGAUUGUGUUUGGCUGAAAGAAGAAAGUCAUAUACACCUAGGAUGGCUUGAGGAAUGCAGCAGUGAGGAUAAAUGCUCAUUCAUAUCACCUGUUUGCGCAGACUGUCCAGUUCCACCUCUAACGCCUGCAGGAAGCGUCGUCUUUCAUUGAGUUCACUUUGAGCACAUCGCAGAGCCUCGUUACUCUCCUUCACCUCCG